This 86-nucleotide transfer RNA is filed under the name Xenopus laevis (African clawed frog). It matches the Rfam family "tRNA". Rfam says of the family: Transfer RNA (tRNA) molecules are approximately 80 nucleotides in length. Their secondary structure includes four short double-helical elements and three loops (D, anti-codon, and T loops). The record is from Rfam by way of RNAcentral. Lineage: Eukaryota; Metazoa; Chordata; Amphibia; Anura; Pipidae.
CCUUUGAUAGCUCAGCUGGUAGAGCGGAGGACUGUAGCAGAAGCAAAGUUAUCCUAAGGUCGCUGGUUCAAUUCCGGCUCGCGGGA